Molecule: ribosomal RNA, 478 nt
Filed under: uncultured bacterium
Lineage: Bacteria
Description: partial 16S ribosomal RNA
Rfam family: Bacterial small subunit ribosomal RNA
Source: RNAcentral
GACGAACGCUGGCGGCGUGCUUAACACAUGCAAGUCGAACGGUAAGGCCCUUCGGGGUACACGAGUGGCGAACGGGUGAGUAACACGUGGGUGAUCUGCCCUGCACUUCGGGAUAAGCCUGGGAAACUGGGUCUAAUACCGGAUAGGACCACUGCCUGCAUGGGUGGUGGUGGAAAGCUUUUGCGGUGUGGGAUGGGCCCGCGGCCUAUCAGCUUGUUGGUGGGGUGAUGGCCUACCAAGGCGGCGACGGGUAGCCGGCCUGUGAGGGUGACCGGCCACACGGGGACUGAGAUACGGCCCAGACGCCUACGGGAGGCAGCAGUGGGGAAUAUUGCACAAUGGGCGCAAGCCUGAUGCAGCGACGCCGCGUGAGGGAUGACGGCCUUCAGGUUGUAAACCUCUUUCAGCACCGACGAAGCGCAAGUGACGGUAGGUGCAGAAGAAGGACCGGCCAACUACGUGCCAGCCGCCGCUGUAA